GAGUUUGAUCCUGGCUCAGGACGAACGCUGGCGGCGUGCCUAAUACAUGCAAGUCGAGCGAGCUUGCCUAGAUGAUUUUAGUGCUUGCACUAAAUGAAACUAGAUACAAGCGAGCGGCGGACGGGUGAGUAACACGUGGGUAACCUGCCCAAGAGACUGGGAUAACACCUGGAAACAGAUGCUAAUACCGGAUAACAACACUAGACGCAUGUCUAGAGUUUGAAAGAUGGUUCUGCUAUCACUCUUGGAUGGACCUGCGGUGCAUUAGCUAGUUGGUAAGGUAACGGCUUACCAAGGCAAUGAUGCAUAGCCGAGUUGAGAGACUGAUCGGCCACAUUGGGACUGAGACACGGCCCAAACUCCUACGGGAGGCAGCAGUAGGGAAUCUUCCACAAUGGACGAAAGUCUGAUGGAGCAACGCCGCGUGAGUGAAGAAGGGUUUCGGCUCGUAAAGCUCUGUUGGUAGUGAAGAAAGAUAGAGGUAGUAACUGGCCUUUAUUUGACGGUAAUUACUUAGAAAGUCACGGCUAACUACGUGCCAGCAGCCGCGGUAAUACGUAGGUGGCAAGCGUUGUCCGGAUUUAUUGGGCGUAAAGCGAGCGCAGGCGG
This 609-nucleotide ribosomal RNA is filed under the name uncultured bacterium. RNAcentral's name for it is "bacterial SSU rRNA". It matches the Rfam family "Bacterial small subunit ribosomal RNA", at positions 9 to 578 of the family's 1533-position model. The record is from RNAcentral.